GAUCAUCAACAGUGCAUGUUGGGGGCCAUGAAAUGGGAACCAGCACGCCUGGCAAGGAUGUUGGAACGUAUGUGGGCUCACCGAAACUCAGUUACCCCCUUUGGACGCUAGUCUGCGAUGAUGUGCGGUGUUUUCCUUUCCUCCGUGGCUUUUAGGCGUUGUAGUAUUGGCCUUGGGCCUUCGGCUCGAAUGGGUAGUUUUACAGGUAUGGGGUCACGCACCCCCAGCCAUGUUACACACAUACACACACACACACACAUAGAUCGGGAGGGCAGGAAUGUAUGGC
Molecule: long non-coding RNA, 286 nt
Filed under: Volvox carteri
Lineage: Eukaryota; Viridiplantae; Chlorophyta; Chlorophyceae; Chlamydomonadales; Volvocaceae
Description: long non-coding RNA (VCAR_LNC001279)
Source: RNAcentral